GCGGGUGUAGCUCAGUUGGUUAGAGCGCGUGGUUGUGGUCCAUGAGGUCGUGGGUUCGAGUCCCAUCUCUCGCCCCA
Molecule: transfer RNA, 77 nt
Filed under: Pararhodospirillum photometricum DSM 122
Lineage: Bacteria; Pseudomonadati; Pseudomonadota; Alphaproteobacteria; Rhodospirillales; Rhodospirillaceae
Description: tRNA-His (GTG) (tRNA-His-GTG-1-1, tRNA-His-GTG-1-2)
Rfam family: tRNA
About the family: Transfer RNA (tRNA) molecules are approximately 80 nucleotides in length. Their secondary structure includes four short double-helical elements and three loops (D, anti-codon, and T loops). Further hydrogen bonds mediate the characteristic L-shaped molecular structure. tRNAs have two regions of fundamental functional importance: the anti-codon, which is responsible for specific mRNA codon recognition, and the 3' end, to which the tRNAs corresponding amino acid is attached (by aminoacyl-tRNA synthetases). tRNAs cope with the degeneracy of the genetic code in two manners: having more than one tRNA (with a specific anti-codon) for a particular amino acid; and 'wobble' base-pairing, i.e. permitting non-standard base-pairing at the 3rd anti-codon position.
Source: RNAcentral